This 253-nucleotide ribosomal RNA is filed under the name uncultured bacterium. RNAcentral's name for it is "partial 16S ribosomal RNA". It matches the Rfam family "Bacterial small subunit ribosomal RNA", at positions 524 to 776 of the family's 1533-position model. The record is from RNAcentral.
UACGUAGGGUGCGAGCGUUGUCCGGAAUUACUGGGCGUAAAGAGCUCGUAGGUGGUUUGUCGCGUUGUUCGUGAAAACUCACAGCUCAACUGUGGGCGUGCGGGCGAUACGGGCAGACUGGAGUACUGCAGGGGAGACUGGAAUUCCUGGUGUAGCGGUGGAAUGCGCAGAUAUCAGGAGGAACACCGGUGGCGAAGGCGGGUCUCUGGGCAGUAACUGACACUGAGGGACGAAAGCUAGGGGAGCGAAUGGG